UACGUAGGGUCCAAGCGUUGUCCGGAUUUAUUGGGCGUAAAGAGCUCGUAGGCGGCUCAGUAAGUCGGAUGUGAAAACUCGGGGCUCAACCCCGAGACGCCAUCAGAUACUGCUGUGGCUUGAGUCUGGUAGGGGAACACGGAAUUCCUGGUGUAGCGGUGAAAUGCGCAGAUAUCAGGAGGAACACCGAUGGCGAAGGCAGUGUUCUGGGCCAGUACUGACGCUGAGGAGCGAAAGCGUGGGUAGCAAACAGG
This 254-nucleotide ribosomal RNA is filed under the name uncultured bacterium. Its description in RNAcentral is "partial 16S ribosomal RNA". It matches the Rfam family "Bacterial small subunit ribosomal RNA", at positions 524 to 776 of the family's 1533-position model. The record is from RNAcentral.